UGUAAGCGUAUACCAAAGUUGUUGCAGUUAAAACGCUCGUAGUCGGAAUUUGGCAGUUCCGGAUGUGUGCACGUCGUGUGCGCACUUCGCGGGGAUUGCUUUUGUGGUCUUGCGUAGGAUGAGGCACUUUUAUUAGUGAACGUCCUCACGCAACCACUUUUUACUGUGAGAAAAUCAGAGUGCUCAAAGCAGGCAUUUGCCGUGAAUGUAUUAGCAUGGAAUAAUAGAAUAGGACUUGGUUCUAUUUUGUUGGUUUGUUGGGACUGAGUAAUGAUUAAGAGGGACAGUUGGGGGAAUUUGUAUUUCGGUGCUAGAGGUGAAAUUCUUAGAUUACCGAAAGACAAACUGCUGCGAAAGCGUCUGCCAAGGAUGUUUUCAUUGA
RNAcentral lists this ribosomal RNA (382 nucleotides) under uncultured eukaryote. RNAcentral describes it as "partial 18S ribosomal RNA". It matches the Rfam family "Eukaryotic small subunit ribosomal RNA", at positions 592 to 976 of the family's 1831-position model. The record is from RNAcentral.